RNAcentral lists this ribosomal RNA (497 nucleotides) under uncultured bacterium. RNAcentral's name for it is "partial 16S ribosomal RNA". It matches the Rfam family "Bacterial small subunit ribosomal RNA", at positions 28 to 507 of the family's 1533-position model. The record is from RNAcentral.
GAUGAACGCUGGCGGCGUGCCUAAUACAUGCAAGUCGAGCGAACGGACGAGAAGCUUGCUUCUCUGAUGUUAGCGGCGGACGGGUGAGUAACACGUGGAUAACCUACCUAUAAGACUGGGAUAACUUCGGGAAACCGUAGCUAAUACCGGAUAAUAUUUUGAACCGCAUGGUUCAAAAGUGAAAGACGGUCUUGCUGUCACUUAUAGAUGGAUCCGCGCUGCAUUAGCUAGUUGGUAAGGUAACGGCUUACCAAGGCAACGAUGCAUAGCCGACCUGAGAGGGUGAUCGGCCACACUGGAACUGAGACACGGUCCAGACUCCUACGGGAGGCAGCAGUAGGGAAUCUUCCGCAAUGGGCGAAAGCCUGACGGAGCAACGCCGCGUGAGUGAUGAAGGUCUUCGGAUCGUAAAACUCUGUUAUUGGGGAAGAACAUAUGUGUAAGUAACCGUGCACAUCUUGACGGUACCUAAUCAGAAAGCCACGGCUAACUACGUG